This 1618-nucleotide long non-coding RNA is filed under the name Homo sapiens (human). Its description in RNAcentral is "long independently transcribed non-coding RNA 3103 (LINC03103)". Lineage: Eukaryota; Metazoa; Chordata; Mammalia; Primates; Hominidae. The record is from RNAcentral.
AUGCUCACAUGAGGCAUUCUUCCUUUACCAGUCCAAAUGCUAUACCGGUUAAACUCCGCCAUUUUGCCUCUUAGUGCUCAUGCUUGAGCCCGCUUGCCCAACUCCUGAGAUGUCAUCGGGAAGCUGCUGAUCAGCAAUUACAGAACACAGCAAGCAGUCACCGUCUAUGAACUAGAAAGCUGAUUCACCAGACACCGAAUCUGCCAGCACCUUGGUCUUGGACUUCCCAGCCUCCAGAACUAGGAAAUGUUCCAACACAUCUGAGGAAACACAUGCCUUCCCAGACUGGCCUGUUGCUGUUUCCCAGGAGCUGCAUUCUGGAAGGUGGACCAUCAGGUGGAAGAAGUAUUCUUCAGAGAGCUGCCUUCCCAAGGGAAUGGUGACAGCUUGCGCUUGCCGGGGAGUCCUGCUGCCUUCCGAGGUGUGAAGGGAAGGCAUGCACUGUGCAUAUGCUGUACCAUACAGUUUUGCCUACAACUGCUUGUAGCUUCAUUGUAGCUGUGAAUGCUCCGUUCCUCUCCUUUUCACCCCUGAAGAUUCGCGAACAUGCAGGAUUGAGCUGUGCGAGGCAUAGCAUUCCCCACAUGGUAGACGAAGGCGGAUGUGGGUCUGAUGGCUCUACUGCCGUCCACCCGGGAGGAUGGACGUGUGUUCCGGGAUAUCAGAGCUUGCGGCUGACCAGCCCACAUGUCCAUGCAGCCCUCCCGCUGGCUGUGUCGACAUUUUGGGUGUCACUGAAGGAUUUUACUGGUGCAGACUUUACAAAGGCAAAAUUGUUUCUCAAGGAAGUGGACAUGAAAGAUCUAAAAUCAGGGCUGCUUAAAAAAAGCAAGCACAGAUUAAUGACCUAUCUACAUCCUACACGGUUUUAGGACUGCGCCUAGAUGGGCUUAAAGACCCUAGCCUAAAAACUGUAAAUGUGCUUCCGUCUUUGCCCUGUAGGACAAGAAAGCCUUACGGGCUUGCUUCUAACUGUGAGAGGAGGAGAGGCCAGGAAGGGAGAGGGAGAAAAGGAGGAGAACAGGAGACGAGAAGGAGGGGAGAGUGAGGAGAGGAGGAGAGAGGCUUGUCAAAAUCUUUUUAGUGCACAAAACUAAUUUUGUUCAUCUUGGAUUUGGUGAGCUGGGUAAUAUUCUGUGCACGGCUCCUAAAUGAAUUAUUAAAUGUCAACUCAAGAUGGCUUAACUAAAAUACUCAAUUUAAUAACCAAAAGUAUCUAAGGUAACAACAACAAUUUUGCAGGUGAUUGUAGAGUUGUCAAGUCAAACCAUUAUAGACAAGCAUUUGGGGUUUUCACAUAAUCUCCUUCCACAUCUCAUCUUCUGUCACUAAAUACCCACUCUGGUGAGCAUAUUCCAUUUCAAUAAAGAUCAUCGCUUCGGUGCCAGCUUCUUUUUAUUCAGAUCGAGCCAGAAAACCUUUUUUUUUUUUCUAAAAUAUAAAGCAAAACAAGAUCUCAGUCACAACCACCAAAUCUUUAUUAAUGCAUUCCUUGUGCUACUUCUGAAUAUUAAUAAAAAUUAAUAAUUAAUUUUGCCUUUGGCAUUGCAAGAUAUACUAGUUUUAAUUAGUGUACUGUACUCCUAUACAAUUAAAAAAUAAUUGAUGUCCAUGCUUA